Molecule: ribosomal RNA, 150 nt
Filed under: uncultured fungus
Lineage: Eukaryota; Fungi
Description: partial 5.8S ribosomal RNA
Rfam family: 5.8S ribosomal RNA
About the family: 5.8S ribosomal RNA (5.8S rRNA) is a component of the large subunit of the eukaryotic ribosome. It is transcribed by RNA polymerase I as part of the 45S precursor that also contains 18S and 28S rRNA.
Source: RNAcentral
AAGUGUCAACACGGAUCUCUUGCUNUCGCAUCGAUGAAGACCAGCGAAAUGCGAUAAGUAAUGUGAAUUGCAGAAUUCAGUGAAUCAUCGAAUCUUUGAACGCACCUUGCGCUCCUUGGUAUUCCUUGGAGCAUUCCUGUUUGAGUAUCA